Molecule: non-coding RNA, 228 nt
Filed under: Fictibacillus enclensis
Lineage: Bacteria; Bacillati; Bacillota; Bacilli; Caryophanales; Fictibacillaceae
Description: T-box sequence
Rfam family: T-box leader
About the family: Uncharged tRNA acts as the effector for transcription antitermination of genes in the T-box leader family. T-boxes are found upstream of many aminoacyl-tRNA synthetase genes and some amino acid biosynthetic genes usually in Gram-positive bacteria.
Source: RNAcentral
GAGCAAACGAUGAAGGGGAAAGUACGAACAGCACCCAUUUUGAAGAAAGCGAGCCGGUGAUGGUGGAAGACCGGUAAAUGGCCUGUACGGAAGAUCACCCCGGAGUUUCCAAGCUGAACGGAUUAAAGUAAGCCUGGCGUUACUUCACGAUACGACGACAAAGCGGGUUUUCAAUAUGGUUUGAAAACCUAUUAGGGUGGUACCGCGGGUGGCCUUCUCGUCCCUUUA